UGCAAGUCGAGGGGUAUAGUUCUUCGGAGCUAGAGACCGGCGCACGGGUGCGUAACGCGUAUGCAAUCUACCUUUCACAGAGGGAUAGCCCAGAGAAAUUUGGAUUAAUAUCUCAUAGUAUUACGACUUGGCAUCAAGAUGUAAUUAAAGAUUUAUCGGUGAAAGAUGAGCAUGCGUCCCAUUAGCUAGUUGGUAUGGUAACGGCAUACCAAGGCAACGAUGGGUAGGGGUCCUGAGAGGGAGAUCCCCCACACUGGUACUGAGACACGGACCAGACUCCUACGGGAGGCAGCAGUGAGGAAUAUUGGACAAUGGGCGCAAGCCUGAUCCAGCCAUGCCGCGUGCAGGAUGACUGCCCUAUGGGUUGUAAACUGCUUUUAUACAGGAAGAAACCCUACCACGUGUGGUAGAUUGACGGUACUGUAGGAAUAAGGAUCGGCUAACUCCGUGCCAGCAGCCGCGGUAAUACGGAGGAUCCAAGCGUUAUCCGGAAUCAUUGGGUUUAAAGGGUCCGUAGGCGGUUUUAUAAGUCAGUGGUGAAAUCUUUCGGCUCAACCGAGAAAUGGCCAUUGAUACUGUAAGACUUGAAUUAUUAUGAAGUAACUAGAAUAUGUAGUGUAGCGGUGAAAUGCUUAGAUAUUACAUGGAAUACCAAUUGCGAAGGCAGGUUACUAAUAAUUGAUUGACGCUGAUGGACGAAAGCGUGGGUAGCGAACAGGAUUAGAUACCCUGGUAGUCCACGCCGUAAACGAUGGAUACUAGCUGUUGGGCGCAAGCUCA
This 780-nucleotide ribosomal RNA is filed under the name Flavobacterium sp. 2P1D5. Its description in RNAcentral is "bacterial SSU rRNA". It matches the Rfam family "Bacterial small subunit ribosomal RNA", at positions 56 to 842 of the family's 1533-position model. The record is from RNAcentral. Lineage: Bacteria; Pseudomonadati; Bacteroidota; Flavobacteriia; Flavobacteriales; Flavobacteriaceae.